AGUGGCAACAGCUUCAACAACAAUGGCAAUUCCGAUUAUCCAUCUCGUAUCUACUGGUAAAAGUGGUCCUUAGAGCAGUCCUUCAGCACAGAUCUCCAGAACCAUUCACCGUGUUUUCGUCAUGUCUUCUUGAAUGACUUUUCUAAAAGAUUAGCCAUUCUUUGCU
Varanus komodoensis (Komodo dragon) is the source of this 166-nucleotide long non-coding RNA. RefSeq lists it as uncharacterized. The transcript is spliced from 3 exons. The record is from RefSeq and is a predicted model, not a curated record. Lineage: Eukaryota; Metazoa; Chordata; Lepidosauria; Squamata; Varanidae.